Molecule: long non-coding RNA, 209 nt
Filed under: Zostera marina
Lineage: Eukaryota; Viridiplantae; Streptophyta; Magnoliopsida; Alismatales; Zosteraceae
Description: long non-coding RNA (ZMAR_LNC004775)
Source: RNAcentral
AAGGUUGCAUGAGUCAUCACUUGUUCAUAUUCGCCGUCCCCAGAACGGCCGACAGGGAGCAACCUUGGCACGCCAUUAAAGGCGAUUUCGCAGUGAGCGAACCCAGAGGGGUUCAAAGCUCCAAUAUAAGUAUUCAAGUCGAGGUCCGGGUCUCGACUAGCAUCUAGAUCCACGGGAGGUGGCGGAGUUCUUUCAGAGCGCCGGCCCGC